UGGGGAAUAUUGCACAAUGGGGGAAACCCUGAUGCAGCGACGCCGCGUGAAGGAAGAAGUAUCUCGGUAUGUAAACUUCUAUCAGCAGGGAAGAUAGUGACGGUACCUGACUAAGAAGCCCCGGCUAACUACGUGCCAGCAGCCGCGGUAAUACGUAGGGGGCAAGCGUUAUCCGGAUUUACUGGGUGUAAAGGGAGCGUAGACGGUGUGGCAAGUCUGAUGUGAAAGGCAUGGGCUCAACCUGUGGACUGCAUUGGAAACUGUCAUACUUGAGUGCCGGAGGGGUAAGCGGAAUUCCUAGUGUAGCGGUGAAAUGCGUAGAUAUUAGGAGGAACACCAGUGGCGAAGGCGGCUUACUGGACGGUAACUGACGUUGAGGCUCGAAAGCGUGGGGAGCAAACAGGA
This 405-nucleotide ribosomal RNA is filed under the name bacterium. RNAcentral's name for it is "partial 16S ribosomal RNA". It matches the Rfam family "Bacterial small subunit ribosomal RNA", at positions 355 to 777 of the family's 1533-position model. The record is from RNAcentral. RNAcentral also lists the same sequence under 1 other name.